UGAGGCAAUAACAGGUCUGUG
RNAcentral lists this non-coding RNA (21 nucleotides) under Arabidopsis thaliana (thale cress). The record is from RNAcentral. Lineage: Eukaryota; Viridiplantae; Streptophyta; Magnoliopsida; Brassicales; Brassicaceae. RNAcentral also lists the same sequence under 1 other name.